This is a long non-coding RNA of Magnolia sinica, 473 nucleotides long. RefSeq lists it as uncharacterized. NCBI's taxonomy places the organism in Eukaryota, Viridiplantae, Streptophyta, Magnoliopsida, Magnoliales, Magnoliaceae. The transcript is spliced from 2 exons. The record is from RefSeq and is a predicted model, not a curated record.
GCGAGUGCAAUUCCCAUUCACAUUUGACCCUUCCAAGCCGGCGAGAACAUAUGUGAAUUUCAAAUCAAAGGAGCACAGGGUCAUUACAUUUGGUGGGACUUUACCCUUUUUACUGUGGAACUUCAGCUGGCAAUCUUACAAAUGCUGGGUUGUGUUCCAUCUAUGGCUCAUACACUGUUGUUUAUUGGAAAAUGCAAAUGUGAAGCACUUUGAAGAAGGUGGACAAAGAAGAAACUCAGGAUCAAAGCCGGUGAGGCAAGCAUCUUGUGACUCACAUAUGAAGGCAUUGUGUUCUUCUCUAGACGUUGCUUUAUUUUCCUAUUUCUUUUUAAGCAUGAGCCCAAGGAGCUAAAAUUGAGGAUGAUUAUGAUUUGUUGCUCGUGUUCUAUAUUGUAUUGAGGUGUUUGUUGGAUGCUGGCAGAAAGAAUGGCUUUUUUUUCAGUAAAUCCAUAUUCAUGCAUUAGAUUCUUUCA